CCUACGGGAGGCAGCAGUGGGGAAUAUUGGGCAAUGGGCGCAAGCCUGACCCAGCAAUGCCGCGUGAAGGAAGAAGGCUUUCGGGUUGUAAACUUCUUUUACCGGGGAAGAGCAGAAGACGGUACCCUGAAAACAAGCCACGGCUAACUACGUGCCAGCAGCCGCGGUAAUACGUAGGUGGCAAGCGUUGUCCGGAUUUAAUGGGUGUAAAGGGCGUGUAGCCGGGAAGGCAAGUCAGAUGUGAAAUCUGGAGGCUCAACCUCCAAAUUGCAUUUGAAACUGUUGUUCUUGAGUACUGGAGAGGCAGACGGAAUUCCUUGUGUAGCGGUGAAAUGCGUAGAUAUAAGGAGGAACACCAGUGGCGAAGGCGGUCUGCUGGACAGCAACUGACGGUGAGGCGCGAAAGCGUGGGGAGCAAACAGGAUUAGAUACCCUUGUAGUC
This 442-nucleotide ribosomal RNA is filed under the name uncultured bacterium. RNAcentral's name for it is "partial 16S ribosomal RNA". It matches the Rfam family "Bacterial small subunit ribosomal RNA", at positions 338 to 795 of the family's 1533-position model. The record is from RNAcentral.